AUGUCCCUACGGGGGGCAGCAGUGGGGAAUUUUGGACAAUGGGCGCAAGCCUGAUCCAGCUAUUCCGCGUGUGGGAUGACGGCCCUCGGGUUGUAAACCACUUUAGUAGAGAACGAAAAGGAGCUAUCGAAUAAAUAGCUCUGCUGACGGUACUCUAAGAAUAAGCACCGGCUAACUACGUGCCAGCAGCCGCGGUAAUACGGAGGAUGCGAGCGUUAUCCGGAUUUAUUGGGUUUAAAGGGUGCGUAGGCGGACGCUUAAGUCAGCGGUAAAAUUGCGGGGCUCAACCUCGUCGAGCCGUUGAA
RNAcentral lists this ribosomal RNA (305 nucleotides) under uncultured bacterium. Its description in RNAcentral is "bacterial SSU rRNA". It matches the Rfam family "Bacterial small subunit ribosomal RNA", at positions 333 to 631 of the family's 1533-position model. The record is from RNAcentral.